This 63-nucleotide transfer RNA is filed under the name Pseudohelice subquadrata. RNAcentral's name for it is "tRNA-Phe". The record is from RNAcentral. Lineage: Eukaryota; Metazoa; Arthropoda; Malacostraca; Decapoda; Varunidae.
UGCCCACAGAUAAUCUAUCUCUUUUGCAGCUUCAAUGCAAUAUUCUUUAUAAAUUAUAUGAGC